AUGCUUUCCAUGGCGAACCAGCUAGAGCCUAGAGCACCAUGGUGGCUGAAACACAAGAUCCUCAUCCUGACAGGCAUGGCCCUAAUCCUCGCCGCCAGCACUGUUAUCAUAGUCACCUGCAUCAUCCUCAGCCCCGCGCACAUCCACUUCUCCAUCACGGCGGCUAACAGUACAAACAGCACCAUGGACGGCGAGAACGGGCUGUCCUUCAACUUCACCCUCGCCGUCGACAACCCCAGCCGCCGCGCAGGGGUGGACUAUAGGGAAGUCAUCGUGAGCCUGCAGCUCCCCAGUAAGCGCUUGAAGAACAACUCGGUGCCGGCGACGGUGAAUGGAUCCAUGCCGCUGUACCAGCCGCGCCACAGCCACAUAUCCAUGGCCGUGGCAGCGUUCGUGGAGAAGGACUUGUUGGACCUUUACCUGAAGAAGUUCUACAGAGGCCAUCCGACGUUGACAAUCAUGGUCACAGCACUGGUCCGUUUCAAGGUUGGGGUGGCCUACUCCAGGCUCUAUGACAUUACGGUCUACUGCCCGCCCGUCGUCUUCUUCGACGUCUUCCAGGACGGCAACUUCAGUUAUCAUUUUGCCAAGGGCAACGCCAAUUGCUCUGCCUGA
This 615-nucleotide ribosomal RNA is filed under the name Triticum aestivum (bread wheat). RNAcentral describes it as "partial small subunit ribosomal RNA". The record is from RNAcentral. Lineage: Eukaryota; Viridiplantae; Streptophyta; Magnoliopsida; Poales; Poaceae.